Molecule: transfer RNA, 76 nt
Filed under: bacterium
Lineage: Bacteria
Also listed under: 8 other names
Description: tRNA-Gly
Rfam family: tRNA
About the family: Transfer RNA (tRNA) molecules are approximately 80 nucleotides in length.
Source: RNAcentral
GCGGGAAUAGCUCAGUUGGUAGAGCGUCAGCCUUCCAAGCUGAGGGUCGCGGGUUCGAAUCCCGUUUCCCGCUCCA